AGCGGCAGACGGGAGAGUAACACGUGGGAACGCGCCCUUCGGUUCGGAAUAACUCAGGGAAACUUGGGCUAAUACCGAAUACGCUUACGGAAAGAUUUGCCGAAGGAACGGCCCGCGUCCGAUUAGCUUGUUGGUGAGGUAACGGCUCACCAAGGCGACGAUCGGUAGCUGGUCUGAGAGGAUGACCAGCCUCACUGGGACUGAGACACGGCCCAGACUCCUACGGGAGGCAGCAGUGGGGAAUAUUGGACAAUGGGCGCAAGCCUGAUCCAGCCAUGCCGCGUGGGUGAUGAAGGCCCUAGGGUUGUAAAGCCCUUUCGGCGGGGAAGAUUGACGGUACCCGCAGAAGAAGCCCCGGCUAACUUCGUGCCAGCAGCCGCGGUAAUACGAAGGGGGCUAGCGUUGCUCGGAAUUACUGGGCGUAAAGCGCACGU
Molecule: ribosomal RNA, 434 nt
Filed under: uncultured soil bacterium
Lineage: Bacteria
Description: bacterial SSU rRNA
Rfam family: Bacterial small subunit ribosomal RNA
Source: RNAcentral